This 374-nucleotide ribosomal RNA is filed under the name uncultured bacterium. RNAcentral's name for it is "bacterial SSU rRNA". It matches the Rfam family "Bacterial small subunit ribosomal RNA", at positions 29 to 416 of the family's 1533-position model. The record is from RNAcentral.
AACGAACGCUGGCGGCAGGCCUAACACAUGCAAGUCGAACGCCGUAGCAAUACGGAGUGGCAGACGGGUGAGCAACGCGUGGGAACAUACCCCUCGGUUCGGAAUAACUCAGGGAAACUUGAGCUAAUACCGGAUACGUCCGAGGUUUUGAUCGACCUUGGAGAAAGAUUUAUCGCCGAAGGAUUGGCCCGCGUCUGAUUAGCUUGUUGGUGAGGUAAUGGCUCACCAAGGCGACGAUCAGUAGCUGGUCUGAGAGGAUGAUCAGCCACAUUGGGACUGAGACACGGCCCAAACUCCUACGGGAGGCAGCAGUGGGGAAUAUUGGACAAUGGGCGAAAGCCUGAUCCAGCCAUGCCGCGUGAGUGAUGAAGGCC